CCAAAGCUGCAAUUGCCUCCCCCGCUGCCAAUGCGUCCUUGAUUGGUGUCUUGAAGUAUAAGUCGACAAUGUAGUUUGAGUUGUCAGUAACAUAAGGUUUGUCACCUUCCAAUCUUAGCUUUGCCUCGACUCCUUCCUCCUUAAACAGUUCCUGCAACCUUACUAGGUUAUACUUCCAGCAGAACUGCACAACUUCCACUGGCAUGGCUAGACCACUUCCUCCUAAUCCAUCAACUAGUUUUGUCUCGUCAACAACAACAAUAAACUUGUCUGAUGCAGCCUCAACCAUCUUCUCACGGAGAAGCGCACCACCCCGCCCUUUCACAAGGUUAAGGUCUGGGUCAACCUGUUUUAGUACCAAUUGAAUUUAAUUAGUUAAAAAGUAGCAGUUUUGAAUACAGCAGGAACAGAAGGCCCAAAUAUCAGUACAGAGUAUUUGGAGAAAGAGUUACAUAAAGUUGGGACCAUAUUCACCAUAAGGCCAUGUUUGCAUCGAUGAUAUUUCAUUUGAUGGUAUGGGCUGUAGUUCAAACGAAAAUACUUUUCAAGGAAAUGGCACUUGACUAAACACCCACUUUCUCCUUGGAGGGGUAAGUAGCUCUUCUUCUAGGAGUGUGUAAUCACUAAACUAACAGAGAGGCUAAAAUGCCAAUUCUAUGACAUCUAAAAUGAGACCUGAUCAGUUGACUAAUAAGUUCAAGAGCCAAAAUAGAAGCCCUUUUAUUUUCGACCUCUCCCAAAGGUACCAAGAAUCAUAACUUUAUCUUUUCACCGAGGGGAAAGGUACCUACAUAAAGACAAAAGGCGCCGUUUUCCUCCAUGAAUAGCAGCACUUGGCCAGUAGCAAGAUGACAUAACAGACGGGCUCUUUCAUGCGGUAACAGCAACAGGACAAAGUAUGUGCAAAAGACAAACCUUCCAUGUCCAAAUUUUUCAGGUCAGAUGAUUUAUUUUGUGCUACUACCAAUUGCAAGCAGAUGAUUUCUUUUGUGCAAAAAUUUCCAAGGAACCGUCGAAUGAUUUGAUUGACUUAUACAUACACAAGAACACAACGACAAAGAAGCAGAUGUUCUUUCUGCCUGUCUCUUUCUGUCCUCUCUUGGCCUUGUAUAGCUCUCUCCCUUUUAUUUAUUUAUUUAUAUCUAAUUUAUCUACUACGAACAAAAAAGCAAGAAUGAGACAAGGCGGGGCGGACCUCGUCGGCGCCGUCGAUGGCGAGGUCGAUGAGCGGGUGGUCGUCGAGCGUGGAGAGCGGGAUGCCGAGCGACUGCGCCUGCUCAAAGGUGCGCUUGGAGGUGGGCACGCCGACGAUCUUCUCGAGCUUGCCAGAGGCGAGGAGCGCGCCGAUCUCGGCGACGGCGAAGGCGGCCGUGGACCCCGUCCCGAGACCCAGCACCAUCCCGCUCUGCACCUGCUCCACCGCGCGCACCGCCGCCAGCCGCUUCAGGUCGUCCUGCGUCAGCGCCGCCGCCGCCGGCGCGGACUGCGCGCGGACGGCCCCGAGGCGGGCGCGGCGCGCCGCGGUGACGUGGCGCGCGGCCGCCGGGUGGAGGCGGACGGAGAUGGCGGUGGCGGCCAUGGGAGGCGGCGCGUGUGGGUGGGUGUGUGGUGGUGGGAGGCGCUGGAGCUCGGAGGGUGAGGAGUGUGGGGAGGAGGAGGCGAGGCGAUGGGGAGUUGGUGGUGGAGGCGGCGAUGGUUGAUCGUCAGAGGUUUGGGUUGGUGGUGACUUUUUUUUUGGGUU
Molecule: long non-coding RNA, 1741 nt
Filed under: Setaria viridis
Lineage: Eukaryota; Viridiplantae; Streptophyta; Magnoliopsida; Poales; Poaceae
Description: long non-coding RNA (SVIR_LNC001253)
Source: RNAcentral